RNAcentral lists this ribosomal RNA (672 nucleotides) under Levilactobacillus brevis. Its description in RNAcentral is "bacterial SSU rRNA". It matches the Rfam family "Bacterial small subunit ribosomal RNA", at positions 57 to 686 of the family's 1533-position model. Lineage: Bacteria; Bacillati; Bacillota; Bacilli; Lactobacillales; Lactobacillaceae. The record is from RNAcentral.
GCAGAGUCGAACGAGCUUCCGUUGAUGACGUGCUUGCACUGAUUCAACAAUGAACGCGAGUGGCGAACUGGGUGAGUAACACGUGGGGAAUCUGCCCAGAAGCAGGGGAUAACACUUGGAAACAGCGCUGCUAAUACCGUAUAACAACAAAAUCCGCAUGGAUUUUGUUUGAAAGGUGGCUCGGCUAUCACUUCUGGAUGAUCCCGCGGCGUAUUAGUUAGUUGGUGAGGUAAAGGCCCACCAAGACGAUGAUACGUAGCCGACCUGAGAGGGUAAUCGGCCACAUUGGGACUGAGACACGGCCCAAACUCCUACGGGAGGCAGCAGUAGGGAAUCUUCCACAAUGGACGAAAGUCUGAUGGAGCAAUGCCGCGUGAGUGAAGAAGGGUUUCGGCUCGUAAAACUCUGUUGUUAAAGAAGAACACCUUUGAGAGUAACUGUUCAAGGGUUGACGGUAUUUAACCAGAAAGCCACGGCUAACUACGUGCCAGCAGCCGCGGUAAUACGUAGGUGGCAAGCGUUGUCCGGAUUUAUUGGGCGUAAAGCGAGCGCAGGCGGUUUUUUAAGUCUGAUGUGAAAGCCUUCGGCUUAACCGGGAGAAGUGCAUCGGGAAACUGGGAGACUGUGAAGUGCAGAAGAGGACAAGUGGAACUCCAUGUGUAGCGGGUGGGA